Molecule: long non-coding RNA, 12669 nt
Organism: Numida meleagris (helmeted guineafowl)
Lineage: Eukaryota; Metazoa; Chordata; Aves; Galliformes; Numididae
Exons: 2
Source: RefSeq, a predicted model, not a curated record
GGAGAUCACUGAAUUAAUUCAUGUGUGUAAUCCAUAGGAAGACAGGGAUUGAGUUCUUUUCGCCGUGCAGCGUAUAAAAAUUGGACUCCAGUGUGAAUCCCAGUGCUGGUUUUCCUGAAUAAAAGCCUGUCUUGUUCCUAAGGAUUUGGGCUCGUCAGAUUAACACGGCACGGUGCACUUUUCUCUCUGACUGUACAUUUAAAUAUGAUGAACCUAUUUGAUAAAUAACCCGUACAAAGGUUUUGUUAUAUUAAAAACAGCUAAAUACGACUCCUGAUCGAAUAUCAGCCCCGUAAUUGAAUCUCGGGGGUUCUGGUGCUGUUCAUAAAGCAUUUGAGUUGUUCUGUGCUUCGUGACGUCAGCCAAAAGCCUGAUUGAAUUAUGUCCUGCAUUGUGGGAGCACCUGCCAGUGCCACUAGACUGAAGGGGCUGUCAGCAUUUCCAUUACAAACCUCUCUGAUAAGUUGGGGACUUGGCUCCGGGCGCGGCGCUGGGCUGAAUGCGGCCGUGGGAGCCUCCAGGCUGGCAGCAAACACAACAAAACCGCGCCGCUUCUCCCUGCUAUGCAGUGUGCUCCCGGGGUGCAGCUCCCGAGGUCUGGCGGGGCCGACGUGCCGCUGUGUUGCAUUAUUUCUGGCUUUUCCCGGGUCUGUGUUUGUGGUUACUGGGGCUGCACGUGGUGGUUGACGCUGAAAGUCACAGCAAGUGCUCGGUGCCCUGAUGCUGCGUUGGGAAUAAGCACUCCUUAUCUCAACGGAGCCCUCAGCUCCGUUUGGCCUCAAACCUGAUUUCAUGCAGUGGAUAUUUGGAGGGAAGGGCAGGAAUGAGGCAGAUUUGGAUGGGAAGCAAGUGGCGUUCAUUGCUGGUCGGCUUCUGGACCUGUGAGCGCAGCCCGUCCCUCGCCCUCCCCACCUCUCCAGGAUCACCUCCCGUGCUGCAGGACCUCGAUGAGAGCCCGUUUCACGUAGGACAGCAUCGAUCCCAUCCGCCCGAAACUCAGAGCGUGCUGAUGCAGCCUUUGCAGCACUGUGCAGCCGAGGCUGUGAGCGCUCGCUCCGUGCAGAGCUGCACCAAACCCCCGUGUGUGACUCGGUCUGACUUCAAAACGUGAUUCCGCCUUUCAGGCCUGGGAUGCUUUUUCUGUGCUGCCUGUUUGUGGCGGAGGGGUGAAGGGGAAGCGGAAGCGAGGAUUUGGAAAAUAGGUUUUCCUGAUCUUUUCUGGGUCACGUGAUUUCGGAUGUGCCCUUGCUGUCCGGCGUGCUGUUUGUUUGUCAUUCUGCAUGCGGAGCAGGGGUGUGGGUUUGCUGCUCAGGCCUCUGCUCUCAUUUUUUUGGGACCACUUUUGCUCUUUUUACUUGUCUGGCCUCUCCUGAGCCAACUUUGUGGCAUUGUAUCUUGCCUGAUGCUGUCCUUCAGGAAAGAUUACCAGUUAAGUCCUGAUUAGAGACAAGAUCAUUAUUCUGCAGGAUCAGAGUCGUUAGCAAAUGCGUUUCUUAACUUUUGUUUUCUGUGUCUAAUCGCUUUGUUGACUUAAUAUUCUUUGGUAAGAUUUACUUGCUUAGGAAAUACUGUGUCCUGUUGUACAAACAGGAAAAUUCUCGUUCCUGAAAUGAGAUAUUUCGUAAACAUCAGGAAUGGGAGCACUUAAUGUAUGAACUUGCUUAUUAACUAAUGGACAUUGUCUUUUUUCCCUCUCCUGAUUCUCUCAUUAAUAGUCCAUCCUUUUUUCUUCUCUGUCUUUAAACCCAGUCAGCUAAUUGGCUCUGGUGGCAGGGCCGUGGUGAGGGUGCUUUGGAUUCGUGCUCGUGGUGAGGUUUGGUUCAGUGCUUCGGGCAGUGCUGAUGCUCCUUGGCAUCUGCCUGCCCGUGUCUGCAGCGUACGUGAUGCUGAAAACACGUUGGUACCCAAUUAGGAGGUUAACGGGGCAGAAUGAUGGAUCAGCAGACGGCGAGCACCCAGCCCGGAGCCGAGCCCAGGUUACUGCAGCGGGACUGGGUCAGCACCACGGUCACUCCUUACCUCCCUGUGCAGCCCAGUGCCCAGAUGUGUGGCAGUUCGCUGUCUGUCUUUCUUCCCUGUUACUGGCUUGCUUUUAAUCUUUCGUCAGACUCGUGAAUGCAAGCUCUGUAGGACAGAAAAAACACUGCAGUUCAUUAAACCUUCAUUAUCUGAGCACUGUAGGGCAAGAUGUAGUCUUUUUGCAGCACAAAUCCAGGAUAGAGAGCUUUUCCGCUGCACUCUGGAGUGUGAAAUGGGGCAUGGGGGAACGCUCUCCAGAACAUGAGGACUCUCCAAAGUCCAGAAAAUGAACGCCAUUGGACCACAUUGCUGUCUGGGUCGGUCUGUACAGCCUCUGGAGCCUGUGUUCCCACAUCCUCCUCUUUUAUUCCAUGUUUCCCUGUUUGGGGCUCAGAAGAGAUGAUCUAUUUCCAGUUUGGAAGUGAAGACAAGAGGAGUGGAGGAAGGAACUGAUAACACUGUAAUCUGAGCCUUGACUAGAAAACAAGGUGACAACCCCGUCUGUGGCAGAGAGAUUUGAUCUGGGUGAUCGUCAAGGUCCCUUCCAACCUAAGCCAUUCUAUGAUUCUGUGAUUAGUGUGUGCAUUAUAGUGCCCAUCACACUCACAUUAUCUCAGCACUAGGAGAAGACAGCAUUUGUUAUACCGAAAAUAUGACAUCUUAACCUUUGGGGAAGAUGUGUCUGAGUUUUAAUGUGUUCUUAAAUGUAAAAAAUCUUCUCCGUCCUUGCCAUUGGGCGAAAUUGAGAUGUGUUCGAAAACAGGGCUGCGUCUAAUGCCACGCGUAAUGGAGAAUUACUAUUUUCUUAAUCCAAAAUGGAAAGAGCUUAAAUAGAAAGUGUGGGAUUAUAAAAGAAGCAGCUUUAUUCUCUUUAAUAUAAAGUUGUUUUUUCCUAUUCAGCUCAGUCCUAUCCCCACGGCUGGAAGGAAUAGACUUUGGGUGGCCUCUUCAGGGCGCUGGCUUGGGGUGGCUGUUGCAGACACUCUCUUUUCAUGCUGGCUAACGAGGGCUCGGUGGACAGACGCCUGCUUUGUAGGUGGCUGAGCUCAAAUGAGAUGCAUCCGAUCUUGAAGAUCGCCUGCGUCUGUGAGAAUCCUUUUUUUUUUUUCUUUUUUUUUUAUUAAACACAAAAUCCUUCACUCUUACGUCCGAAGAAUCAAGGGCUCGCAUCGCUUAGACUUGAAAGCUGUCCUCUCGCUGCAGUGUUUGACGGGAUUGUUUACGUAUUUAUUGUGUUUAUUAAAGACUGCCGCUGCGCUUGGUGCUGUGUGUGCUGGGGGGCUGGUGGGCUGCAGUUGCCCUGGAUGUGUGUCAGCAGCUCCCUAAGGAUGGGGCUGAGGUGCAGGAGGGGAGAUGUCCCUGCGUUGCCGCUUUAUCUGUUCGAGCGGUGUGUCCUACCAAUGGCCUCCCUGCGAGGCUGUUCCCAAUGGCAGGCCAUGGGUGCACACCUCCAUUAGAAGCAUCUUUUGAUUUUAUUCCAACUCGGUGACUAAUAGCAGCAGCUUCCAAAUGGUUGUUCCAGGACUUCAGAUUCAGUCUAAGUUCUGCCUUAAGGUGGGUUUGCUUACAUACAAGAGCUGUUUUGCGCUCCUGCGUUCAUUGUAGCAGCUGCAAAUUAUUUUCAGGCUGGAAAGGGUUUUGAUCUUUUUCGAAUUUAAUCGGUUUCCUGAGAGGACUUCAAGGAAGAGCACCUCAUGUAGUGAUGGGUGGAACUGGGAAAGUUCCUCGUAGCCCAUCAUCAGAAAUUCUGGCCAUUGCUGCCUCGUGCUGGAUUCCUGAGCGCUGCUGAAACCGCGUUUCCAGGGAAUGUUCACACUUCUUGAGUCUGGCUCCUGCUUAUUAGAAGCAGCUAAUUAAUAAAUGUGAGGAAGUUAAACAACUGAUGGGGAAACGUUUUCUGGGCGUUGUGGCUUGGUAACCCUGUCUCUCUUUUGAGUAAGAGGAAGAUAACAGAUAACACGCGGAAGGAAGUGGUGGGGGGUUUACAUAACCUGCCAGCUCCGCAACUGGAAUAAAUCAGCGUAAUUCUGCCAGCACCCCCAGAGUUUUGCCGUGUUACCCAAGGAUCGAGCAUUCUUCUGGGGAGCUCUUAGGCUGCAGUCUGACAUGUCUGCGUUCUGGUUGGGGCAGUGGGGAGCGUCGUUGCUUUCUGGGAGGAGGACGUGCCAGCUCUUCUGCUUGUGACGAUGCCGCCCUGUACUCAUCCUUUUUAUCUUUCAUUGUAAAAUUAAAGUACACAUUUCCUGGUUGCUUAUUUGGCUGAAGCCUCCUUCAAGAGCACAUUCAAUAAUUUGUCUUAUUCAUCUCCUCAUCAUGCUCAUGGUUAUGUUACAUUCACCUACAGUAAGGAUUCAGUGAGAGAGGAAGAAUGAAUAUGGAUGAAUCAAUGAGUACAAGUGCUGUAAGUGAUUUUUAGAGCUGCUCGUAUUCAGUUUGACAGUCUCAGAUGGAAGACUGUCAAGAUCAGGCCCAUGUUUUGAAUCGUCAAGUGCACUUUACGUGCUUCUCCCCCUGAGCUGGAACCCAGACUUUGGGAUGUUGAAAGCAAUGGGAAUUUUCCUGCUGACUUCCCUGUGAGAAGCACUGGGCUCUUUGUCUGCCUGUGUUCUGCAGAUUUGUACAUUCCAUUGCCCUACCUACUCCUGAUAAUGAAGGAAAUAGGUGCAGGAGUGGAAAAGCGAGAUCCAAAUUGGCGGGCCUGGAGAAGGAGAGCUCAGUUUGUUUAUUUGCUCUUUCGGGCUUGCCCAGAAGAAUUAUUUUCUCACGUACUCUGCUUUAGACGUUGCUGUUUGAUGGGACUGGAACAACCUGUACGCAAGUUGUUUCCUGCCAGUGUUUUAAAGUGAUGUAGAAACGUUGUUUCUCUACCAGCUUCACAUCAAUUUGCAAAGAAAACUUCCCUUUAGAAAAAAACACACUGCCACUCUAAUAGCUGAUGUGUGCUUUCUAUUUCCUUGUCCUACUGUUUGGGUUACAAACAUAUUUAAAAAAAUAUAUUCACAUACACAACAUUAUUAUGAUUUGGCUUAAGCAUCUGUGGUUAUAAGUGCACUUCAUUUCACCUAAUUAAGUUAUUUAGUCAUUUACACAUUAGCAAUGUACUACAUAUUCCACUUUUACAGGAACUUAUUUUAAUUAUACCCACAGUUCUGUUCUGCUCCAUUAUAGCCAUAGAUCAAGCUGAAUAAUAACCAUUCUAAAAGCCAUAUGCUAAAAGAGAUUAUGGGUCAUUAAGGCCAAAUUAAGGUAACAUUUCUGAUGGUCACAAACAGAAGUCUAACCAACAAUUAUCUUCUUUUAGGUCCGUAGAUGCAGUCCUCUUUGAGCUUUUAAGAUGACAACAAGAGGACAAUCUCUGAUUCCUAAUUGUUGGCAUUGGUUUUGGAGGUUGCAAUUUCUGAAAUUAAUAAGGUUUGCUAAGGCAUAACAAUGUUUGUUUGUUUUUCUCUGGUCCUGGUGGUUGCCAGAGGGCUCCCACGUAGACUUGGUCCUCCAGACAUUCAGUUCUUACGUGGUUCCUGCUCCGUGAAGCACUGCUCAUCCGCUUCCCCUAGCUGCACCGUUCAGCAAAGCUCAUUUUCACUGGUGUUGGGUUCUACAGCUUUGGGCUUAACUGUCUUCUGCUGAAUAGAGCUGAAUCUAAUUGUCUCAAGAUUAAUUUUGACUCGGAGCUUGCACCUAAGAAGCUUACCAGUAAUUCCCUUUUGACUGAGCCUCGGUGGUAUUUUUCCCUGGAAAGAGCUGAGCUAGAGACAAACUUCCCGCGGGGAGGGACCUGGUGGCGUGUCUGCUGUGCAGGUCAAGGUCUCGCGCUUCUCCCUAGGGUUUGAAGGUAGCUCUCUCUAUAACAGAGCCUCUGUGUCUGCUCUGUAGUCGUCAGCAGAUGCUAGGUUGCAGGCAGAAUUACUUUCCCCACUGAGUGGAGUACCUAUUCCCAUUGGGCUGAGAUAGCCUGAGGACGUGGUUCAGAGCGAGCAGGGCUCCCCAGGGUUGGGGCCGGGCGUCCCGUGGGAUGGGCAGGGCUGUGCGGAGCUGCAGGGACCCAGGCAGGAGCAGGGCAGCCGGGGGCUCUGGUCAUGCAGAUGCUCCUGCAGCCCCUCGGGUUGUCCGCCUGUGUCAGAGAAGGAGCAAAACAUUUAUUUUCUUGGAAGAAACGCCAGUUCCAAACCAGAAGGAUUUCUUUGCUUAAAGACAGCGCUUCUCAAUGAACUCGAAACCGUUUUUGUCUGCAGGUUUUUUCCUUUCUUCUCUCAGGAGCAUUUCAGCAGACGAUUUACAAUGUCCUUUCUGGACAAAACCAACUGUUACAUACGUAUUUAUUUGUAUGUGUAUCUCCAAAGAGCUAGCAGUGGUCAUACUGAAGGUGUUUGGUUGGUGCUUGGUUCAAACCAAACUCCGGCAGGAGGACUGGAAGGGGAUUGUACUCUUUCACAUGCCAUUGCACGCCAUCCCCUUGUGUUCUGGAUUUUCCAUGUGAGCUGUGAGGUAUUGUAGCAUAAGAUCCACGAACAGCUGGGAUUCCUGUUGUGUCUCAGAAGUGACAGCGCAACUAAAGUACGCUCUCUUAUAUAAUGGCUUUGUUAGAAACGAGUGACCCACAUUCUUGAGCUGUUCCCCUUCAGGUGGCUGGCUGGCCACUCACAGCUCAUCAUCCCGUGGUCUUUGGUUGCCAGUCUUUGGUCUUCCUCUUGAGAGACUUGCAUUGCGGAGUGUUUCUUCAGUGCUUCAAACACAGGGAUGUUCAUCCGUGCCAUUUAUUAGCGUGUUUAAAAGGAAGCCGGGCCUGGAAGGGAGGUUUAGGAUUAGCAGGUCCAGGUGCCUGGUGCUGCUUACAUUGCCAUACUCUUGUCUUACAGUUUGUAGGAUUUUUGAUCCAAAAGUUGUCUUGGAAUAGCAUUCCAGCAUCUCAGUCCUGAUGGCCAGAAGUCUUAUUGUAAUGUUUUGACAAAAUCUCAACGUGGCCAGUUUACAUUCGCUGGUGCCUGUUCCAGCGCUUUGAUGGCAUGUUCCGUCUCCAUCUGUCCCCUCCCAGGGAGCCCUGCAGGAACGUGCCUCUUGGGUGGGCUCUGUGCAGGCUGGGUUGGGUGCCGGGGGUCUGGGUAUUGGGGCAGCUGCAGUCUCUGCAGGUAAGAAGGGGUGAAGGGGAGGUUUCCAUGCUUUGAAAGGAGAUGGUUGGAGGCUGGUGUGCCGUGCCCUUCCUGCUUUUAUUCUGUAGAAGCUCCGGGUUCUGCACUUUUUUUUGGGUGGGGGGGGAAAAUCCUCCUUUGCAGCUUGUGGAUGAAAUACUUCGGCUUUCCCUUAGGUUGUAGAAGUGAGGUGGGGCUCCUUUGUGGAAAUUCCUAAUGCAUAUACAUACAUACGUACACGUGCAUCUGCGUAGCAGGUUUUUGCUGCUUGUUUUCAAAACCUUGUUGCUAAAAUAAGUUAACUUGCUUGCCUAACCUGUCGAUUUGUGGGGCUUUAAGAGGACUGUAUAUGCAGGAGAUUAAAAUCCAUUUCAUUAUUACGACUAAAACAGGUAAAUCCUGUCUCCCGAUUGGAGCUGAAAUCCUGACCCCGGAUGCAGCCGCGCUGCCCCAGCGCUUGGUAGUGAGGACACGGAGUCACGCGCUGUGUGUCUGAGGGUGUGUGAAUGGUGGCAUAAGCAGCUCUGCUGCUGUUAAACCUUCUUUAUUGCUCAGGGUCAAGAUGUAAUCUAUACGGGAUUUUUCUUAAACUCUCGUCCAAAUCCGAAGGAUUUCCACUCAAGGAAAGGUCCCGUUGGCUUUGCGAGGAGAAGGGAUCACGCCCAUUUGCUGCGUGUUGUCAGUCUGGGUUCUGCUUGUACACAAUGGCUUGGGUUGGCUGCAGCGUUACUAAAUUCGGUGGAUCCAUGCCAGACUCAUGCAACUAAAAAACUUUUUUGCAUUUUGUCACAGAACCCGAUAAGUAGUACCAUGGAAUCGAAAGUGCGCACAAUGUGCAAAGUCAAACUAUAUUUAAAGUGCCUUAUUCGCAGAGGAACACCUCUAACCUUUCAAUAUGUGAAUAAGAUGUCAACCUAGUUCUGGAGCUCCACCAGGUUUUGACAUGAUAAUGCAUUUGCAGUCACUUACAGGCUUGCAUUGGUGAAGUGCAAUAAUUUGCCUAUGUUUAUUUAAAUAGUGCAAACUUUGAAUGUUAUCACCUUUUUAUUUAAGAGAAAAGAGACUCUGAGGAUGACAUCACCAGAGCAUCAUGCCUGGCUGGUUGCAUGGUGAGGAGGGAUGUAUUUUAAGGUGCUCCCUGCUUCUUCCCUCCUUUUCGAAAUUGAAUUGCAGUCUCUCUGAAAUGAAGAUACAGUUUUUUUUUUCCCCUUAAACUGAAAUUUCCGUAUCCGUGUCUUAUAUUUACGGUUAUAGCUUUCCUUGCUAUAUAAUUAGUCAUCUGAGUAAGCGAUCUGAAUUUCACACGAUGUUAUCUGUGAGUUGGAAGAGGAUGAAUUUCAUCGCUGAAAACCUGGCUGUUGAUUUAGCCAGCUGAAAGAAAGGUGGGAUAAAGGUGAUUAAAACCGCUUUUGAUUUGCCAUCUUAAAUAAUGAGUGGUUUUUGGUCACUGGAACGAGCAGGGGAAUUGGUGCUGAGAAGUGUACAUUUUAAUUUGAAAUUUCAGGAAGACUCCAUGGCAACUGUGAUAUGAAAGGAGCAGGGUCUUUCAUGAAUCCUUUGGUCUUUGGGUAAUCAGGCUUCGUUUGCUUGUUUGUUUUCCGACGUGUGUAAGUUAAAUGGAAAUAGGAAUUCUGUGCUGAGAGAGUCUUAAGUUCAUAAACACCAUGGCGUUCAUUUUCGUGGAAACAGGAACUUUGUACAGAGAUGGUUUUGUAAGCCAGAGAUUAAAAGAUGGGAAUGAUAAAAAAAAAAAUAAUAAAAAUAAGGUAACAGUAAUUAAGAACAUAGAAAAUUGUGGAAAUGUAUUUUCUCUAGGGGAUCAAAAGCAAGUGGAGUGGUGUGGUGUGGUGUGGAAAUAAUGUUAAUAGCGACAGCAGAUAAACCCGCUGUUUUUUCAAGAUUUUGCUUUCUAGUCCAGCCAUUUUAGCACCGAGUUAUUAGCGUUCAUUUAAGUACGAACACAGGGAACAACUUCAGCAGUUUGCCUGUCGCAGAAGUUGAUAUCUAGCGAGAAAUAUCACUGAUGGAAAACCAGAAAGACUAAAUAGAUAUAUUUGGCCUCACAGGCAGUCCAUUAAUUUGCUCAAAUUAAAUAUUAUCUUUAAAUAUUGAAAGGUUAAAUGUACACUGAUAAUGGAUUUAGACAGCCAUUAAGUCAUAAUUGCUCUCUAAUGUAGUUAGCAAAAGACAUUAUUUGAUAUAACUUAUUGAAAAGGGACUAAAAGCACCAGGAUUUUUUUUCGCUUGCCCUUUUUCAUAUAAAUGUCCAAGAUUAAAUCCCAUUUUCAUUUAAGGCUGUGGGACCCAGCAGGGUCCCGGCGCUCAGUGGGAGUGGGGCUGUGCCUCGCAGCGCAGCCGUGCCCGCUCCUCCGUAGCGGUGUGGGGCUGUGGGGGCUCCUCCUGCCCCACACCUGGGGGUCUCGGUGGGCCCGGCAUCCCGCUGGGUCUGUGCUGGCUGCUGGGGGCUCCUGGAGCUGCUCCGUCUCCAGCUGCAGCCAGGUGCAGGGAGCCAGGCCUGGGUUACAGGUGCGCUGAGGCCACCAAGUCUUUAUUUUGGUUGAAAGAAAAAUAUUUUUAAACUUUCAUAAUAUUUAUCUGCAGACAGAGGUUCCUAUCACUUCCCAAACAGACCGGGCCCUCUGAGCUCUCCCAGCCACGGUGGGUGCUCGCUGCGGGCCGCGCCUGAUGGGAGCUCUGUGGGGGUUCAUGGAGGCCGGGUCCUCCCGCAGGUCAGCCACGGCCCCACGGCCGUGGGGCUCCUGGAGGGAUGUCCCCGUGGGGGCUGUGGGUCCCAAGGUGCUGUGGGGCUGCAAGUGCGCCUGGGUGAGUUGUGCCGGGGGGCUCAGCUCUGGGCUGGGGCCUUCUGCCUUUGUUUUAUUAAUGGACAAAUUGCCGUGGCGGCUCUCCUUGCACCAUCUGUAAUUUUUUCUCUUUCCUUCAAAGCGGCGCUCGUCUGCAGCGCAGGGGCUGUCACACGCAGCACGGAGGUGGUAAUUCCUGGAUUAAUUCGUAGCGUUGUGGCAGUCCGUGGCUGUGGACUUGGAGCUCAGGUCUUGCAGGACUUUCUUCUGUGUCAGGAAGAGCAAGAUAAAUGUCUGUGUUUUCUUGGAUGGUGACUUUUGUUUCAAGCCUGGGAGGGACUUAGUCCUAAGUGGAUGUUAUCCUGCAAAUGGGUUGUUUUUCUUCUCCAGCGAUGCUUAAUGAGAUAAUAUCAGGUGGAAGACUUGCUUAAAGUGAAGGAAAAUGACGUUCAGGAUUAUAGUGGAAGUAAAAGAGAAAGUCUCGAGAACGUUGUACUGGUUAUUUUUUGCUUUUUUUCCAUGCAGUUCAUGCAAUGUAGAGAGUGAAUCAGGUAUUUUUUAGAUUUUUUUUCCUGUUCUGAAUUUCAGGAGGUUAAAAAAAAAAAAAAAUUAAAAAUUACCAUAGAAUGAUUCACAGUGAAAAACUGUGAGAGGUCUGAAUUAAUUACAAAUCACGAGAGGGUGGUACUGAGGAAGAGAGGUUUUAUUUUUAACAGGCUUCUUUCCGAAGUCACGGUGCUGUGUGCAGCCGUGGGGACAAUGCUUGACCCUUCCCCUUUGGCUCAGCGUGGCAGUAGGGACACGGUGACACUGUGGACAGAAGGGACCCCGCUAGCGGGCUAAGGGUUUACCUAUAAUACUUGCCUAAAAAUGCUGAAAAGCUUAAUUGAGUCUUUUGCUCUGUGAUUUAAAUCAUGGGUUUGAGCUGCUGUGAAGUACCGUUGGCUGUCUCUUGUGCUGUGGCGCAUGCGAGCAAAUAGUUUGCGUUUCUUACAAAUUAAACACUGAAACAAACUGUCCUAAUGCAGCUGGCAGUUCCUUCAAACUACACUGGUUUAGGGCACUCUUUUUUGUAGGAGGGAGGAGUUUUUGGGAAAUGGCGUGUUUUGUAAGAGGCCAAGGUAUGGCGAGGUGAUGCCCUGCGUGGGCUGCGUUCUUCCUUCUGCUUCAGCAAAGCAGUGAGGCGAGGGUGCUCCCAGGAAGGAUGCACGACGUAAAACUCAUUAGCUGGAAUGGAGGAAUGCUUGAAAUGCAUUUUGAAAAUGAACUCUGUGUGGUUAGUUCUGCCCCGUACGUCAGUUCUUGCAGCAUUUGACAGGUUUUGGAAUGCUCAGGGAAUGUUACUUCUGUUACUUAAAAUCAACCUGACUGUGAGUGGAAGGAAAUUAACUGUCCUGUCUGCAGGGCGUGAAGCAAACAACAGCGGGCAAGAGCAAUUGUAAGGAGGUUACAUUUCUGUAGAGAGAACAUUAGGUUGAUUUGUUUUUUUUCAGUGCAGAGCUCUCACUCUUUGUCAACGUAGCUCUUUGAUGCUAUUGUGCCGUUCUCCAUCCAGGCUAGGCUGUGAGCAUCCCUUAGAACAAGUUACUGCUCCUCUGCUGCAUGGCGUUUCUCAUCACUACUGAACGUCCAAGGUCCUUUUCAGAGCAGUGUGAGUAGCUGGACACGUGUGCGUGCCCCUGGCCAGCUCUGCUCAUCUGGAGGGGCAGAGACCUGGAGCAGGACAAGGAGUGCGAAGGAAAUCCUCUUCUUCCUUCGCGUGAAGUUUGUCAGCGUUGCUGUUAUCUUUGUUUUUUUUUCUUCAAAACGUUCGGACAAAAGUAACCAGGAAGCAAGAAUACUGUUGUUUUUCUGUCUUUGUCUGAGAAGAGUCUUGUUUGCUAUGUUUUGUCAUUGUUUGCUUCCCUCCAGCCCCAUUCUGGACAGAAUUUCCCAGGAAUCAAAGUUGGGUUGUUUUUAGAGUAGACCGAGAAAAAUAUUCCUGAGAUUUGCUGCUUUGAUUGAAGAGAUUUAUUGUUGUUAAAAUGCAAAAUAAAAGUGUUGACGAGUUGGAUGCAAGUGAAAUCUAGACUUUAUUUAUUUGAAAAAUCCUAAUGGUAACGUGGUCUAAUCCUGAGCUGCAACCCCACAGCGACUGAGCGAGCCCGGAAGGAAGAGAAGGAGCCCUCCCCAGGAGCUGCAGAGUGCGGUGCAGAACCAUGGGGAGCAGAUGGGUGGGCAGAUCGGGACGCUCGGAAGAGCAGAGGGCCAGAGUUGCUCAGCACAGCAAUGAGUCGGUGGGGGGAAGGAGGACAGGGGGCUGCGAGGGUGCAGGAGCUUAGCAGUGCUUGGGGGGGAUUUGGGGUUGUGGGAGGGGAGAAAGAGUGUUUGGGGUCAGCGUAGGGGCUGGUGUUGGGCGGUGAGGAGUGGUGCAAACUGGGGAAAAAGACAGUGGAAUCCUAAAAUGGCUUGAGUGGCCUGGAUAUCAUGGAAGUGCAUGGAGGGGAAGCAGAGGAUGGGCAGGGAGGUGGGAGGAGCAGUGUGCCUGGCCUGAAGCUGUGGGUGGGUGGGUUUGGGGAGUAAGGAAUGAUGAACUGUGGCUUUGGGUGGGGAAGGGACUGACUGGGGACAUGGAUGAAGGUCAGGUGAACGACGUGCCCAGAAGUGGAUAGUUAUUGCAUUGUCAAAUGGAGACAAGGCCAUGGUCUGGCUUCAUGGAUUGAUGAGGAGGAGGGGAAAAAAAA